This 297-nucleotide unclassified non-coding RNA is filed under the name Hevea brasiliensis (rubber tree). Lineage: Eukaryota; Viridiplantae; Streptophyta; Magnoliopsida; Malpighiales; Euphorbiaceae. The record is from RNAcentral.
GCGACGGCAGCUACUCGUUAAAGAACAAAAUAGCAUGGUAAAAUAUCUCAACUGAAAACAGACGGGGUAAAAUUAGUAGAGAACCCAGUCAUGGCAUCGAAAAUAUUGAAACUUCUGACCAACGAGGGAGGAGAGUAAAUCAGUAUCACUGAGAUGAUCGUUAAGUUCAUCCACCGAAUAAAUUAAAAGCUUAUUGUUUUCCAUGGAUAAAUAAAAUAGUGUUUCAUUCCUCUUCUGUGCCUGAACCUUCUGAGCUGGAGCCUCCUUUAUGCACAGUGCCAUUUGCAGCAGGGCCCU